Molecule: long non-coding RNA, 876 nt
Organism: Dermacentor albipictus
Lineage: Eukaryota; Metazoa; Arthropoda; Arachnida; Ixodida; Ixodidae
Source: RefSeq, a predicted model, not a curated record
AAGUGCUUCUCGUUGCAGCCGCUAGGGCAGGUAGCAGCGUUCGGAAGAUUCGGAAGCUGAAGAUACAAAACGCGGCGGUUCCACGUUCCAUGCUACCGCGUUCGCCUGGACGUUGCAGGGUUGCACGUGGGGCGUAGCCAGGAGGAUGGAGGGCACACUGGAAACGAGGUCUGUCCCCAAAUUUCUGCGUACUGGGGACACCUGGCCUGAAAUGAUGCACGACUACGCCUGCCUGCCUCGUGCCCCAUCUCCGGCUGCAGUGAGUUGGCUGCCGGAUGGAACGACUGCUACUGUUGAGGCACGUACCAUGUCAUGGUUGCGGUGUGCACCCAAGUGUCUCACAGCAAGACUUGAAAAAGCCUCAUAAGGGACACCGAGGUCAGUGUUGAAUCACUCUGCCUGCAGACGAGUGCAAUCAAGGGCCUGCCGCACUGCGUUUACACUGCAGCACGUGAAGGUACAGGCUCUGUAAAGAGCUCGGCUUGAUCGCUGUAGACAAGUGGGAUCACCUCUGUACGUGAUUCAGUGUGUCAUGCAAAUGUAGUACGAGCUUCGUAACUGGAUCCAUUGCCUCAGAUCAUUAUGCCUGUAUUGAAGUACAUUUCAAAGAUAUGUUAGCAGUGAACACUGCUAUGGCAAGGUUUGAGCACUUCGGCACACUGCACAUGCAAUUACUAUAACCUUUUUCCUCAUCGGCGCGUCCAUGACCACUGCGAGACUGAACCGCCGAAGUGCGUCGCAGAUUUCCAUCACCGGGCGACUGCUUCGGAGGAGGGCCGUGUGGCGCUGCCUGAGUCGCUGGAAUGACCGAACUGUGUGACAAUUCACCAUUUGCUGUUGUUGCUUUUACUAAUAAGAGAUAGAUGUGUACCUGUU